AGGUAGAGCUGUAUCUGGACCCAGGGAAGUAAUGUACAGACUGAGUGACCCUGUUCAUCAGAACGUCAUGGUGGAUGGAAAAAGAUGCUGUCUUCAGCAGCGGUGAAUAACCACAACCCUGUCAGUCCAUCUCUUACUUCCCCUUUCUCUUAUAUUCUCUCUCCCUCCUUCCCUUUUCGUAACCAACUGCGGCCUUGACCUCCAACAGUAUCAGCAACAGAGAGGUGUGAAGUUUCCACAACAGACUUAGAGUCAGUUUAUCAUACACUUCUCUUUAGACGCUGCAGCCUUGACCUCCAUCAACAGAGUUAGAGUCAGUAUAUCAUGAGAACAUACAGACACCACUGACUGGAACCAGCUGACAGUAUCAGUUGUAAAGGCUUCAUUACUACUAACAGAAGGAAAGUUGUAGUGUUAUGUCCAUGAUGAAUGAUGUAAAGGCUUCAUUACUACUAACAGAAGGAAAGUUGUACUGUUAUGUCCAUGAUGAAUGAUGUAAAGGCUUCAUUACUACUAACAGAAGGAACGUUGUAGUGUUAUGUCCAUGAUGAAUGAUGUAAAGGUUUCAAUGUGUUUUAUAUUGAGCUGCUCUGUUAAAUUCUGUUUGUUCAUGUGAAAUUGGAAAUUGUAUUUUUCUAUAAUGUCAUUGUGUGUGUUUAGCUUGAGCAACACCAUUGUAUGGUUGCUAACUUGUCAAAUAAAGCUUCCUAAAAUGUGUUAGAAAA
Molecule: non-coding RNA, 725 nt
Organism: Salmo salar (Atlantic salmon)
Lineage: Eukaryota; Metazoa; Chordata; Actinopteri; Salmoniformes; Salmonidae
Source: RefSeq, a predicted model, not a curated record